UUGUCUGGUUUUGGAAUGAAGGUGAUGCUGGCCUCAUAGAAUGAGUUUGGAAGUACUCCGUCUCUUUCUAUCUUUCCCAACAGCUUUAGUCGAAUAGGUAUGGUUUCUUCUUUAAACAUUUGAUAGAAUUCCCCUGGGAAGCCAUCUGGCCCUGGACUUGGGAGGUUUUUGAUGACUGCUUCAAUUUCCUCCAUGGUUAUUGGCCUGUUCAGGUUUUCUAUUUCUUCCAGUUCCAGUUUUGGUAGUUUGUGGCUUUCCAGAAAUGCGUCCAUUUCUUCUAGAUUGCCUAAUUUAUUGGCGUAUAGCUGUUCAUAAUAUGUUUUUAAAAUCGUUUGCAUUUCCUUGAUGUUGGUAGUGAUCUCUCCUUUCUCAUUCAUGAUUUUAUUAAUUUGAGUCUUCUCUCUCUUCUUUUUAAUAAGGCUGGCUAAUGGUUUAUGUAUCUUAUUAUUUCUUUCAAAGAACCAACUCCUGGUUUUGUUGAUCUAUUCCACAGUUCUUCUGGUCUCUAUUUCAUUGAGUUCUGCUCGAAUCUUCAUUAACUCUCUUCUUCUGCUGGGUGUAGGAUCUAUUUGCUGUUUUUUCUCCUUUAGGUGUAAGGUUAGCUUUUGUAUUUGAGUUGUUUCCAGUUUUUGGAGGGAUGCUUGUAUUGUGAUGUAUUUGCCCCUCAGGACUGCUUUUACUCUUUCCCAUAGAUUUUGAAUUGUUGUAUCUUCACUCUCAUUAGUUUCCAUGAAUCUUUUUAAUUCUUCCUUAAUUUUCUGGUUGACCCUUUCAUCUUUUAGCAGGAUGGUCCUUAACCUCCCCCUGUUUGAAAUCCUUCAAAACUUCUUCUUGUGAUUUAGUACUAAUUUCGAGGCAUUAUGGUCUGAGAAUAUGCAGGGGACGAUCCCAAUCUUUUGGUUCGCUUCAGACCCAAUUUGUGACCCAAUAUGUGGUCUAUUCUGGAGAAAGUUCCACGUGCACUUGAGAAGAAUGUGUAUUCAGUUGCGUUUGGAUAUAAAGUUCUCUAAAUAUCUGUGAAAUCCAUCUGGUCAAGUGUAUCAUUUAAAGCUCUUGUUUCUUUGGAGAUGUUGUGCUUAGAAGACCUAUCGUGUGUAGAAAGCGCUAGAUUGAAGUCACCAAGUAUAAGUGUAUUAUUAUGUAAGUAUGUCUUAACUUUGGUUAUUAAUUGAUUGAUAUAUUUGGCAGCUCCCAUAUUCAGGGCAUAUAUAUGGAUGAUUGUUAAUACCCCUUCUUGGAUAGAUCCUUUAAGUAUGAUAUAGUGUCCCUCUUCAUCUCUUACUACAAUAAGAAUCGAAGAAUUUUAAAUACAAUCAUCUCACAUCUAAAAAUAUUUAGCAUGUAAUAAAAGACAUUGUUGAAGAGCAUAUGAAAUUUCUUGCUCAUAUUAUGGAUAAAAAACAAAACAAUGUGUAAACAAUUGUUCUAAUCAUAGUGACUGCAUUGAAAAGAAAAUUGAAAUAGUCCGUGAAGAUUUCACAUAGAGCAUCUACUUUUCAAUUUUUAAAAAUUAAGUUCAAUUUGCUAAUAUAUAGUAUAACAUCCAGUGCUCAUCCCAUCAAGGGCCCUCCUCAGCCCACGUGACACAGUCACCCCACGCCUCCACCUACCUUCUCCUCCACCACCCUUUGUUAAUUUCCCAGAGUUAGGAGUCUCUCAUGUUUUGUCACCCUCUCUAAUUUUUCCACCUAUUACUUUUCAAUUUCUAUACAAUUGUUCCACUUAAUAGAAAAUGAUAAGUAAAAUUUCAUAUCUUUGUAUUUUGACAAUCUAGUCACACUAAAGACACUGAUCAUCACUCAGAAAAUUCCAGUAGCUCAAAUACUUAAAUAGCUCAAGUGUAGUCACAGACAUUUCUCAUAGGACUCAUUACUUAAGGAGUGGUUUCCCAAGGUCUAUUUAUGACAUAUAUGUACAUAUUGGCAGCCGAGAAUUGUAAUAUCAUCCCAUAAUUGGUUAUAUAGACCUUUCUACAAUUUGUUUCCUCUAGCAUAUGCCAGCAUUUUAUUUUUCCACUACCAUAAUACUUUUUUGGGAACAUUUGCUGACCAUGCUGAAUUCCCCUCCACAGUUUUGCUUAGUAUGAUCUAUGGGCUGGAUCUCAGCUCACAGAAGUGAUUUUCAUUAUUCACUCUGUCCAUGUUCCAACAAGAUCCCUUUGUGGAGUCAUCAUUUAUCCCACAACAAAUAUAAAAUGGACCAUCAGAAUGUGAUACCUGGUAGGCAGUGAGCAUUCAGGAUUCUGUUACCGUAGGAGGCACUGAUCCACAUGAAGUUGAUCAUAUAUCUGAAGAUUAGUGACUAAUAGUACAGGGACAUGAAUUGUGAAACGUUGUAUGAGCUAAAUAUAAGAGAUACACGUUCAAUAAAAUCCUCUACCUUCUAUGGAAACAAACAAAAAAGCUCAUAAUGUAUAUAUUGUUCCAACUACAAACUUGAUGUUUUAGACAGACAAUCUCAGGUAUGUUUCAAAAGAAUUAUGCUUGAAAAAAGAAUAUGGCCACAAACCCAUAAGAUUGCAAUGACCAAAAAUGGUAGCACAAGAGCAUUAUCAAGUGAAAGACUAGGCUCAUCGGAACAGGGCAAGAGCCAUUUGAAAGCACGAUUAAUAUGACAAGCAGGGCACAAUAUCUUCCUUUAUAAAAAAGAAAUAUAGAAAAGUACUGGAAAAUUCUAAUGCCAAGAGAUUGAUGAAAACCAAUCUAUAAAAAUAUAUAAUUCCAUUGAAUCAUUCACAAUACAUAAUUGGGGUAGAUCAAUGAUAAGAUAAAAUGAACUUGAAACACACUCAUAUAAAAAUAUUAUAUGAAGCAGAAAUACACAAUGAAAACACAAAAAAAGUCUGAAACACUGAAAUGUGCACUAUUUCUAAUAGACAAUAUCAGGUCUGAGUCAUGAAAGAAAGAAACAUACAUCACAAGUAAUAUAGAGGAUACACAGAAAAAGAAGAGGAAGGAAAAUAGCAAAUAUUAUAACAUAAGUAGCAUAAAAAAACAAAAAUAAAGCAUCCUUUAUCAUAUACUUCUAACAAAGUGGGUAUAGAAGAAAAUAGAGUGAAAAGAUGAAAUUUUUUUGGGGGGGUGAAGAAAUAAGAGGAAAGGAAAGGACCUAUGACUAAAGGCUCUCAGGAAGGCUAACAGGCUCAGGAAAAUACCAGAAACCUGAAGACCACAGAACAUAGCAAAAAAACACAAAGUACAGAGCCAAACCACUGACAAGAUAUGGAGGAAACAAUGUAUGUCCUCUGCAAAGACCACUUCCCUAAGCCAUGCAACACUUGAUACCCUACAGCAGAAAAGGAAAGAAACCUUGGGAGGAAGAUUUCUAAGGCUGACAGGCAGCAAGAACAGUGGAAGACAGUCAGGUGACCUGUGUCCCACUCGCCCUCCACAGGCUGCAGGGUGUGCUGGUGCCCCUGCGCCACCCAUGCUACCCCACCCAGGGCAUCCCCUGGGGGCAGGGACAGGGUAUCCCUGUGCCCAAAUAACAGCUCUGCUUCAGGACCAAUUUCCAGCCCUGUGUACCCUCCUCUAGGCUGUGGGUGACCCUGACCUCAGCAACUGUCCCUCUCUGUAUCUCCCUGGCUGGGAUCUUGAGCUAGACCUCAGCCUCCAUGAGGACAAUAGUAAAGGAUUCCUCAUUCACUAUGUUCAGCUUUCCAAGGAACGCACAUGUGGGAGUCAUCAUGGAUAUGAGCACCUGUGGGGUCUGGCUGGGACAGCCCAUUAGUGCAGACAUGCUCACCCUUGGGAGGACCUAUUGUCCUGCCACAUCAAGGAGAACCUGGGAAGGACGCAUGACCACAGGGACCUCUAGACUUGGGAGACAAUCCAAGGACAUGACUAUGAGCAAGAGGAACAGGAUAUCAUCUUGGGGAGCUAAACCCUACAUGUCAGGAUAACACACCAGUCAGAAGGCCCUCAGGAAAGCACAACAUUUCCUUGCCCAAAGGCUCACUCUAAGACAAAAGAAGUUUACCUUCUUACCGAUCCAUGUGGAAUCUGCCCAACCUGGGCAGCUAACCUGGUGAGGCCAACCUCACUCCACUCCUCCAAGGCUUUCUAUUCUGAGCCGAAAUGAGGCUGGCGAUGACACAACACCUGAAAGUUUGGGAAAAUUGCACUCACAAAUGAUAAACAUACCCAGAGGAUCAGGUGGUGAGAUCAGAAAGAACAGAUCCAUGUGGAAGCCUAGCACCUGCCUGUGCUGGCAGGCACAGGACUGGCUGCACAUGGGUGAAAUGCCACAGGCCCAGGUCAGCCCACACACAGGAAUGUGCCUGUUUCAUGUGUGUCAAGGAAUUUCCAUGAGCAAUGUGCCUGGUAAAUGCCACGUGCUGUGAGUGGGGGUGUGCAUGAGUCUGUGAGUGAGGGGCCCUCUAUGGGUGUGUUUGGGUGUGUGUGCAUGAGUGUUAUCUAUGUGUUUACUAGCAGGUGUGUGCAUGCGGGCGUGUGCAGGACAGGCUGGCAGACUAGCUGGCCGAAGCAGAGGUGCUCACAUGUGGAAGUCAUCACUUAAAAGCGCAUAGCCCGUAUGUGGAACCCUGGCCUCACGCCCUGCCAUGCAAAAGCAUGAGAUGAUGCGUUUGUCCCUGAGGGAGGCUGCAAAGGCCUGAGACACUACAUAUCCAAAGCCCUCUGGCAAUGCACAGCGCACGGAUUCUUCUCUACAAACCCACUUAGGACCACUGAAGUAACGUCGAUGUGGACUAGGUGCCUCGCUAGAUGACCAGGGGCCAGAGAGCUGCCCAAAACCGCAGCAACCACAGGGCAAGGCAAGGAGCCCCCAUGCAGGCCUGGCAGCCCUUGGGCGCUGGCUAGAGGCCCCAGGCCUCCACAAAGCCCUAUUGAGGCAAGGUGACCACAUGAAGACAGGCCUGAGGUGACGCCAUGAGGACAGGCAACCUGUUGUGCCCACUCUACCAUACGGCCCUUGGACUGUGGGUGGA
RNAcentral lists this long non-coding RNA (4948 nucleotides) under Canis lupus familiaris (dog). RNAcentral describes it as "lncRNA (ENSCAFG00000052863.1)". The record is from RNAcentral. Lineage: Eukaryota; Metazoa; Chordata; Mammalia; Carnivora; Canidae.